This 433-nucleotide ribosomal RNA is filed under the name uncultured bacterium. RNAcentral's name for it is "partial 16S ribosomal RNA". It matches the Rfam family "Bacterial small subunit ribosomal RNA", at positions 29 to 507 of the family's 1533-position model. The record is from RNAcentral.
AACGAACGCUGGCGGCAGGCUUAACACAUGCAAGUCGAGCGGGCCCUUCGGGGUCAGCGGCAGACGGGUGAGUAACACGUGGGAACGUACCUUUUGGUUCGGAACAACUCCGGGAAACUGGAGCUAAUACCGGAUAAGCCCUUAGGGGGAAAGAUUUAUCGCCAAAAGAUCGGCCCGCGUCUGAUUAGCUAGUUGGUGGGGUAACGGCCCACCAAGGCGACGAUCAGUAGCUGGUCUGAGAGGAUGAUCAGCCACACUGGGACUGAGACACGGCCCAGACUCCUACGGGAGGCAGCAGUGGGGAAUAUUGGACAAUGGGCGCAAGCCUGAUCCAGCCAUGCCGCGUGAGUGAUGAAGGCCUUAGGGUUGUAAAGCUCUUUUGUCCGGGAAGACAAUGACUGUACCGGAAGAAUAAGCCCCGGCUAACUUCGUG